AGUCGAACGCGCUUCGCAAGAAGCGAGUGGCGGACGGGUGAGUAACACGUGGGAACCUACCUUGAGGUGAGGGAUACCGGCGAGAAAUCGCCGACAAGCCCGCAUACGCUUCCUCUGGAAGCAAAGCUCUUUCGGGAGCGCCGCAGGAUGGGCCCGCGGCCGAUUAGCUAGUUGGUGGGGUAAGAGCUCACCAAGGCGUCGAUCGGUAGCUGGUCUGAGAGGACGAUCAGCCACACUGGGAUUGAGAACGGCCCAGACUCCUACGGGGGGCAGCAGUGAGGAAUUUUCCGCAAUGGAGGCAACUCUGACGGAGCAACGCCGCGUGCAGGAAGACGGCCUUCGGGUUGUAAACUGCUUUUCUGUGGGAAGAGUUCGGACGGUACCACAGGAACAAGCCCCGGCUAACUACGUGCCAGCAGCCGCGGUAAUACGUAGGGGGCAAGCGUUGUCCGGAGUUACUGGGCGUAAAGGGCACGCAGGCGGUUGUGUCAGUUUGCGGGGACAGUGGGCGGCUUAACUGCCCAAGGGUCGCAAAGACGGCACGACUCAGAGAGCGAGAGAGGGACCUGGAACUCCGGGUGGAGCGGUGAAAUGCGUAGAGAUCCGGAAGAACACCACUGGCGCAGGCAAGGUCCUGGCUCGUAUCUGACGCUGAGGUGCGAAAGCUAGGGGAGCGAACGGGAUUAGAUACCCCGGUAGUCCUAGCCGUAAACGAUGACCACUAGAUGUGGGAGGUAUCGACCCCUUCCGUGUCGCAGUUAACACGUUAAGUGGUCCGCCUGGGGAGUACGGUCGCAAGAUUAAAACUCAAAGGAAUUGACGGGGACCCGCACAAGCAGCGGAGCGUGUGGUUUAAUUCGAUGCGACGCGAAGAACCUUACCAGGGUUUGACAUGCCUGUGCACCACCCAGAGAUGGGUGUGCCCGCAAGGGACGCAGGCACAGGUGCUGCAUGGCUGUCGUCAGCUCGUGCCGUGAGGUGUUGGGUUAAGUCCCGCAACGAGCGCAACCCCUGUCGUCGGUUGUAGAUGUCCGACGAGACUGCCCCGAUCAACGAGGAGGAAGGUGGGGAUGACGUCAAGUCAGCACGGCCCUUACGUCCUGGGCGACACACACGCUACAAUGGCCGGAACAAAGGGGAGCCAACCCGCGAGGGGGAGCCAAUCCCGUCAAAGCCGGUCUCAGUUCGGAUUGUAGGCUGCAACCCGCCUGCAUGAAGCUGGAGUUGCUAGUAACCGUGGGUCAGCACACCAAAGGUGAAUACGUUCCCGGGUCUUGUACACACCGCCCGUCACACCACGAAAGUCGGCAAUCACCUGAAGCCGCUGGGCUAACCCGU
RNAcentral lists this ribosomal RNA (1338 nucleotides) under uncultured bacterium. RNAcentral describes it as "16S ribosomal RNA". It matches the Rfam family "Bacterial small subunit ribosomal RNA". The record is from RNAcentral.